CCUACGGGAGGCAGCAGUGAGGGAUAUUGGUCAAUGGGCGCGAGCCUGAACCAGCCAAGUAGCGUGAAGGAUGACUGCCCUACGGGUUGUAAACUUCUUUUAUAAGGGAAUAAAGUGAGGCGCGUGUGCCUUUUUGUAUGUACUUUAUGAAUAAGGAGCGGCUAACUCCGUGCCAGCAGCCGCGGUAAUACGGAGGAUCCGAGCGUUAUCCGGAUUUAUUGGGUUUAAAGGGAGCGUAGAUGGGUUGUUAAGUCAGUUGUGAAAGCCUGCGGCUCAACCGUAAAAUUGCAAUUGAUACUGGCAGUCUUGAGUACAGUUGAGGUAGGCGGAAUUCGUGGUGUAGCGGUGAAAUGCGUAGAUAUCACGAAGAACUCCGAUGGCGAAGGCAGCUUACUAAACUGCCACUGACAUUGAGGCUCGAAAGUGUGGGUAUCAAACAGGAUUAGAUACCCGAGUAGUC
RNAcentral lists this ribosomal RNA (460 nucleotides) under uncultured bacterium. RNAcentral's name for it is "partial 16S ribosomal RNA". It matches the Rfam family "Bacterial small subunit ribosomal RNA", at positions 338 to 795 of the family's 1533-position model. The record is from RNAcentral.